CAAUAGCGUAUAUUAAAGUUGUUGCAGUUAAAAAGCUCGUAGUUGGAUUUCUGGCGGGAGCGGGUGGUCCGGCACUUUGUGUUGGUACUUUCCUGUCUCUUGCCAUCCUUGGGUCUAAGCUGUCUGGCAUUUAGUUGUCGGGCAGUGGCUGCCCAUCGUUUACUGUGAAAAAAUUAGAGUGUUCAAAGCAGGCUUAUGCCGUUGAAUAUAUUAGCAUGGAAUAAUAAGAUAGGACCUUGGUACUAUUUUGUUGGUUUGCGCACCGAGGUAAUGAUUAAGAGGGACAGUUGGGGGUAUCGUAUUCAAUUGUCAGAGGUGAAAUUCUUGGAUUUCUGGAAGACGAACUACUGCGAAAGCAUUUACCAAGGAUGUUUUCAUUAAUCAAGAACGAAAGUUAGGGGAUCGAAGAUGAUUAGAUACCA
RNAcentral lists this ribosomal RNA (422 nucleotides) under uncultured eukaryote. RNAcentral's name for it is "SSU rRNA". It matches the Rfam family "Eukaryotic small subunit ribosomal RNA", at positions 592 to 1017 of the family's 1831-position model. The record is from RNAcentral.